CGGGACACGUGGUAUCCUGUCUGAAUAUGGGGGGACCAUCCUCCAAGGCUAAAUACUCCUGACUGACCGAUAGUGAACCAGUACCGUGAGGGAAAGGCGAAAAGAACCCCGGCGAGGGGAGUGAAAAAGAACCUGAAACCGUGUACGUACAAGCAGUGGGAGCACGCUUAGGCGUGUGACUGCGUACCUUUUGUAUAAUGGGUCAGCGACUUAUAUUCUGUAGCAAGGUUAACCGAAUAGGGGAGCCGAAGGGAAACCGAGUCUUAACUGGGCGUUAAGUUGCAGGGUAUAGACCCGAAACCCGGUGAUCUAGCCAUGGGCAGGUUGAAGGUUGGGUAACACUAACUGGAGGACCGAACCGACUAAUGUUGAAAAAUUAGCGGAUGACUUGUGGCUGGGGGUGAAAGGCCAAUCAAACCGGGAGAUAGCUGGUUCUCCCCGAAAGCUAUUUAGGUAGCGCCUCGUGAAUUCAUCUCCGGGGGUAGAGCACUGUUUCGGCAAGGGGGUCAUCCCGACUUACCAACCCGAUGCAAACUGCGAAUACCGGAGAAUGUUAUCACGGGAGACACACGGCGGGUGCUAACGUCCGUCGUGAAGAGGGAAACAACCCAGACCGCCAGCUAAGGUCCCAAAGUCAUGGUUAAGUGGGAAACGAUGUGGGAAGGCCCAGACAGCCAGGAUGUUGGCUUAGAAGCAGCCAUCAUUUAAAGAAAGCGUAAUAGCUCACUGGUCGAGUCGGCCUGCGCGGAAGAUGUAACGGGGCUAAACCAUGCACCGAAGCUGCGGCAGCGACGCUGAUGCGUUGUUGGGUAGGGGAGCGUUCUGUAAGCCUGUGAAGGUGUGCUGUGAGGCAUGCUGGAGGUAUCAGAAGUGCGAAUGCUGACAUAAGUAACGAUAAAGCGGGUGAAAAGCCCGCUCGCCGGAAGACCAAGGGUUCCUGUCCAACGUUAAUCGGGGCAGGGUGAGUCGACCCCUAAGGCGAGGCCGAAAGGCGUAGUCGAUGGGAAACAGGUUAAUAUUCCUGUACUUGGUGUUACUGCGAAGGGGGGACGGAGAAGGCUAUGUUGGCCGGGCGACGGUUGUCCCGGUUUAAGCGUGUAGGCUGGUUUUCCAGGCAAAUCCGGAAAAUCAAGGCUGAGGCGUGAUGACGAGGCACUACGGUGCUGAAGCAACAAAUGCCCUGCUUCCAGGAAAAGCCUCUAAGCAUCAGGUAACAUCAAAUCGUACCCCAAACCGACACAGGUGGUCAGGUAGAGAAUACCAAGGCGCUUGAGAGAACUCGGGUGAAGGAACUAGGCAAAAUGGUGCCGUAACUUCGGGAGAAGGCACGCUGAUAUGUAGGUG
This 1344-nucleotide ribosomal RNA is filed under the name Escherichia coli. RNAcentral's name for it is "partial 23S ribosomal RNA". It matches the Rfam family "Bacterial large subunit ribosomal RNA", at positions 418 to 1764 of the family's 2925-position model. Lineage: Bacteria; Pseudomonadati; Pseudomonadota; Gammaproteobacteria; Enterobacterales; Enterobacteriaceae. The record is from RNAcentral.